Brassica rapa (field mustard) is the source of this 2901-nucleotide long non-coding RNA. RefSeq lists it as uncharacterized. NCBI's taxonomy places the organism in Eukaryota, Viridiplantae, Streptophyta, Magnoliopsida, Brassicales, Brassicaceae. The record is from RefSeq and is a predicted model, not a curated record.
AUAAUAAUAUUAUACUACUAAUUGUGAAAUUAAUCAGUGCAUUAAUUAAAAGAAUAUUUAAAUUUUUAAAAAGAUUUUGUUAGAUUUUUUCUCAACAGAUUUUGUUAUUUCUAUAACUAAAAUUUAAAUUUAUAGUUAAAAUGGAUUUGUUAUUAAUAUCUUUAUAAUUAUUUAGAAAUGUUAUACAUUAAAUAAACUAAUGUAAACAAUAAAAAAAUUAUUUGGAUAUAUGGACCUAGACUUUUAGUAUGACUAUUUUGUAGUAGAUAAAAAUAGUAUUUCUCUUUUAAUAGAGAAGAUAACAAAAUAAAUUAUCAAAUUUUUACUUUAUUUAAUGCAACAUAUAAACGUAAUUUAUGUUAUAUUUUAUAAAAUUAAAAGUAAAUAAAAUUUUGUAUAAUUUUUUUAAUAAACUUUACCUACAAUUUUAUAAUUUAUUUGAUAUUAUAAAUGAUUUUCAUUUUACAGAUGCUACCACUUAAAUAAUAUAUAUGUAAAAUUUUGUUUAAUUUUCAUAAAAUAUUUUCUUUAUUUUUCUUCUUAUAGCUAUAGAAACAAAAGAUAAAUCAUAAUGGGAAAAGCUGUACAAUUUUCAUGUAGACUUUAAACAUUGAAACUAAAGCUAAAUCAUUAUUAAAUUUUUUUUGACAAUUUAGAACUAAAUAAGAUCAAAGUCUAACUAGUCAUCUAGAAAACAUGUAAAAUUAAAAUUAUUUGUAGCGGUCGUCGACACGAGACUAUCGCUGACAGUUAGAAAAAUUAAAAUUAUAUAUAUAGCACAAUACUCUUUUUUAUUCCUAAAACUCCGAUAUUCUUGUUUUGAUUUGGAAUAUAUUCUUAUUUCAAACUUGAUUUCUUACCAUUUAUUCGUAUUUUCAGUUUAUUUAUUUAUUUAUUACUUAUGAGUUAAAAAUCACAACGACAGCAGUUUCUGAUUUUCUGUUUUUUGGCAAACAAAUUUAUUAAUAAAAAUUAAAUUUUCAAAAUCAAUAUCCAGAACUUCUGAAAAGAAAACUAUUACAUAAACAAAGAUAUUUGUCAUAUAUUGAGAAACUAUAUAUAAAGUAAUUUUAACGAUUUUAAUCCACAUAAUGAUAGAGUAAAAAACACAAAAAGCUAUUUUUAAUUCGCUGGCAAACAAAAACAUAAACAUACAUCUAAUCUUACUAAACACACAGCACAAUAGUAUCCAAUAUAUUUUUAUUAAAGUUGAAUAUCCAAUAUAUUUUUAUUAUGAAUUGAUCUUUUUUGUCAUUGGUCAAAUUAUCAAUAGUAUCAUCAGAUAAUAUUAUUUCAUCACAUAUGAUGAUGAUUAAUUACAUGAAGCAAAGCAUAUGCGAACAUGAUGAAUACCUUCACGAACAUCUGUGGCACGUUGAAACCUCUGAAAAGUUUACAUCCUAUAAAAUUGCAAGAAAUUGUGUUUAAUCUGAAAAUCAAACCGUAGAUUUGAUGUAGAAACUCUUAAACCUUGACCAAUAUGUACGGUGUUUCCACAAAUGAUUAAAAAUCAUUACUAUUAAGUUAACUGUCCUUUUAUGCUCUAAUGUAAUAUGUUUGGAGUGAGAUGGUGUAAGAAAAGGUCUCUUACGACGAAUAUCGCCAAUUACUAGUUCAGAUUUUACUGCUUCGUCUUAUGUUUAGGCUCAAGCUGAUCUUAGUAUUGGUGGGAACUAUCUUAUAACAUAAAGAAGAAGGUUAUUCUCUUCUCCUCUUGCCACCUCAUCAAAUAAGGCAAGGAAGUGGCUACACGUGUCUACUAAAUGAAAAGCUUCCGCUACUUUUUGAUUUUUUUAUGGACUUAUACGGUUUGAUUAUUUGUAGGUUCUCGAUAAUGUGUGUUGGGCUGAGAAACAAACGACAACUUGGCCCAUUGUUUUUCUUUUGGGUAAAAUACGUAGCCCGUUGUUUGCCUUCAUCUUCUUCCCGGGUAUUAUUGUUUAUAGGGUUCGUCGUCUCCUCCAAAAUCUGAUUUCGUCUACCACCAGCGGGGUUCUGAAAAGUCGUGUGAGUUGCCUUUCAAUCUAUGUGUUGAUGUCUGUUCAUGUCGUUUUGUUAUCGAUUUGUCACCUCCGAACCGUUACGAGUUGGAUUGAUUCAACCAUUAAUUACUUAUUAAUUAACUCUUUCGCCCGCUACAACCACGAUCCCGGCCACGAUCCUUCAUUCAACGAUUCUGAUUCCUCUUGCAGUCGGUGAUGCUCCACCCUAUAAAAAGAUUGUUUAAGUGCAGGAAUAAAAUCUUUGCCGUCUCUUUUGGUGGGCCUAUUUAAUUAGGUAUGUGUGGAGCUUCCUCUGUAGAUUGAUGAUUUGAGUUCAUAGCUUCAUAAGCUUAUCUCAUGGCGGGCAACAACAAUGAAGGCACAAAGACUCUUGAUCACUCUUAUCAAGUUUGAAACCCAUUAUGUUCUCCCAUGAUAUUGUCUUUCUUUUUUUCUGUGUAUGUACAUGAACGAUGGGAGAGAGAUUUGGGCUGACGAUUCUCUAAGACUCUAACAUGGCUAUCCAUGCCUCUGUUUAAUUGGGUCAGAGUUGUGUCUUCUCUGGGUCUGGGCAGACUUGGCUUUAGCUGAUUGAGAUCCUAAGGUUUUUCCUGCUCAGGAAUGUUCACAAUUUAGUGUAACAAUUCAAGUGUGGUGCUUCGUAGAUGUAUUCAGAUUGAUGAGAGGCUUGGUCAGACUCUCUACUGACACAAUAUAUCAGAUUGCAGCGAAGGACGCUUGGUCAAAAUCCAAACAAACAUGUAUCUUUCUAAUUAAAAAUAGUUAGUUAGCUAUUUUUUGUGUUGUUUACCUAAUUUAAAAUAUGUUUUUUUUGUUAUCAUGAAUCACCUUUUCCUUUUUAGGAUCAUAUAAAUCAUCAUUUUAAUAAAAAUGCAUAAAAUAAAAUUGAAUUCAAUAA